RNA transcript from Mastomys coucha (southern multimammate mouse), 12294 nucleotides. It is a transcript of the gene named calmodulin binding transcription activator 1, with no coding region annotated. The transcript has 5 exons. NCBI's taxonomy places the organism in Eukaryota, Metazoa, Chordata, Mammalia, Rodentia, Muridae. The record is from RefSeq and is a predicted model, not a curated record.
GUGGGCCGCGGGGCGGGGCCAGGGCGGGUGCGCGGCGGCGGCGGGGUGGCUGGGCCGGCGGCGGCGGCGGUACGAGGCGCGCGCUCGGGGUCCCGGUCGCGAGGAGGAGGAGGAUGUGGCGCGCGGAGGGGAAAUGGCUGCCGAAAACAAGCCGGAAGAGCGUUUCCCAAAGUGUAUUCUGCGGAACUAGCACCUACUGUGUUCUCAACACCGUGCCACCUAUAGAAGAUGAUCAUGGGAACAGCAAUAGUAGUCAUGUAAAAAUCUUUUUACCGAAAAAGCUGCUUGAAUGUCUGCCGAAAUGUUCAAGUUUACCCAAAGAGAGGCACCGCUGGAACACUAAUGAGGCUCUCACCACACACUUGUUCAUGGGCGCAGCAAGAAGAGGGACCCACAGAGCUGGAGCCAUGAGGGCUGAUACAUGGGAGGAAGUCGUCAGAGCGCAUAGGGAAAGCUUUCCAUCCUGCCAGCUCCAUGUUUUCUUCAGGACAGUUAUAUUAGUAAAUUAAUUGUACUUUAAACCCUAAGUUUAUAUGAACUGAAUGUUACUAAAAACGAAAUAGAUUCCAGUGACCUAUUCUUACUUCAUCCAGAGUGACUGAAAGAGUACAGCAGCCACUUAUCUUGGGGAGUGGCUGGCAGCACAUACGCCCUGUGUUCCUGUUGCCCCCAGCAAACUUUCCUUUUCUUAUUACCACAGCAAUGACCUGUUUAUGUGUGCAUUACUGCCUCCCAAAGAAUGGAAGCUCCAUGCGAGCAGGGCCUGCUGCUGUCUCUGUCUCCAGCACACAGGGCAGCUCCUGUUACAUCAAUAAAUGCUGUUCGGUGAACUAGUGGGCCACUAGUGUUGCGUCCUUUCUCAGACUUUAAUUUGCUGUUUAUGUGCUAUACGCCAUUGAAAAUGGUAAUGUAUGUAGGAAGUCUUGUUUUGUAGCUAGUUCAGGGAGAUACAAGAAGCCAGAGUAGCCAAGAUGAUGGGAUUAUGAAUUGCAGAGCCACUGUGUGUUGUGCUCAUGACGCCUGUGUAGCAGCAGCAGGCAGAUUCGAAUGUGAGUCACUUCACUGGCAUGGGGUAGCAUGACCGACCGUCACUGAGGAGAGUCCAGGAAUGUAGAAAAGCAGCAGAGACCCUGAAUCAUGUCCUCAGGUAUCUAGUGAUCCCAGUGACAGUUCAGGGGCUGUCUAGUGAGCAGACAUUUACCAGGACAAGUGGAGCUGGAGGUAAUAGCAUUUUGGCCGUCAGUAGACUACACACACUUAGCGCCUCAUGAGAGGUUAAGACUUUGUGGUCCCAGGACUGGCUUAGUCUAUGGGGUAGGUGCACUCUGUGGUAUUCCUAUGUUGCCCAGAGUACCCAUGGGCCAGUUGUUAAGCAUGCAUGUCCGCAUGUAGAGAAUAACAACAUAAGUCCUGGCCCAGCAGCCUUCACUCUCCAUCUCUGUCCUUUGUGUAUCUGUGGAGGUCACAAUACCAAUAUUACUCCUGCAACUCUUGAGUUUUUGUUUUGUAACAGACUAAGAAGCCAGUCUCCUGUGAUGUGGGCCGUUGUCUCAAGGUGAGUCUGUAGUGAUGGUGGCUUGUGAGGACAGGUGUGCAGAGCCAAACUUCUCUAGGGCAGUUUAUCACCUGUCAGCUUUGUGCAUCUCAGUUGUAAACUUUAUUACACACAGAAGCAGUCAACUAAAACCAUGACAGAGAGCCAAUCAAACCCAAGUUUUCCUCACUUGGUUCAGUCAAACCAGACUCAGCCAUUUUAAGGAAAGCACAGGCCAGACCUUUCUGAAUCACACAGCAAGCCCAGAAGCUGAAGCUGUUACAUGGUGCUCUUCACACCAGGCAUGUCACUCAGUGAUUUUGAAUGUGACCUUUCCCUCCAAUGGAAGCGUAAGAAGUGGUAUAGUUUUUGAGCUGAGAAUAUAAUUGCAGGAAAUGAGGCAGAGCUCACAGACCCCUCUCAAAAUUGUGUGUAUGAGUAAAUCCUGGUGGAGGAUUCAGGGUAAGGGUGAGGUAACUCGUUUAGAACAGCAACCCAGGACAUGGUGAACACCACUACAUGCUCUUCAUUCUUAGAGGGGUUGAAUUUCCCCUUAAAGUGCACUGUGACUUUGUUACGGUCAACGUCUCCUUUCUGAUUCAUCAAACUUCUCAGAUUAAGAAACCAACUCGUCUUUCUUGGUUGGUGCUCCUGUUAUAUGCCUGUGUGAAAGGAGCUGGGAGAGGCAGACCAGGUUACAGAUCGCAUGGGCCAAAGAUGGAAGAGAAGUGAAGUUCUUCAUGUCUGCUUUUAUUUUGAAAUGUCUUUUUAUCACUCUAAAGAUCUGAUUGGCUUACUGUUAUUUACAUAUGUACAUAUGCUUCUGCUCUCUCUCUGUGUGUGUGUGUACACCUUUAGGUUUUAUGGGGUUCAGAUUGUUUUAAGUCACUGUUAAAAUCACAUAUUUAGCACUUCAUCCAUUUAAAAUCUAGUUCUCAUUCAGUGUUCCUGUAGUUUAAAUUAUAUAUCAUAAGCUUUUAAAGAGUGAUGGCUUGAGUUAGUGCCCUCUGCUGGUACACAGAGGACAUCAGGCAGAGGGACUUUGACCCAGGAGCCUUGAUAGAGGAGCCACUUUACGUGGAGAUUGUUUUUGUCAGCUUUUCCAUGUUAUUUUGAAUGGUUGCUUGGUUGCUGAUUUACACCCACUCAAAUUUUGCCUUUUUUCUUGUGUUUCAUGCCUGUCAGUUACUCCACUAAGCCUGGGCCAUGGGGUUGACUUAGCAUCAGCUUCAUUCAACUUGAAAGCAGAGCUCUGAGUGAGGGACUUCUCAGAUGGGCUUGCUCUAUGAAAAUAUGCAGGCAUUUAGAUUUCCCAGGGGGGAUCUAUGAAAUAAUUUUAGAUGCAUUCCUUACUCUGCCUUUUCGAGAAGGGGCAUUGCUGUCAGUACUUGGAUUAAGAAAAAGUACUCCCUGCUAGCUUUGUAUGAUCUACAGGCACAGCUUGGCCCGAACGUGGUGGGUAGGUAGAUCUUCAUGGCCUUAUUUACUCCCCUGGUGUUCUCUGGAGCCAGCUUUCCCACUGAGGUCCCCUGGCGAGAUUCUAUUACUCUGGAUUUUGGCAUCAGGUAGAGCAGACACUGAAUCUGUCUCUAGCUCUGUCCAACCUUAGGGCCUGGGGACGCGGCUCUGCCUUAUGCGGACCAUUGUGAAGUAGGGAGGAAGCCCAGUGUGUGUGUCAGACCCUGAAGAGAAUAGAGCUAAAAGAUGGGCUUGAGGGCCCAUCAGAUCAACCUUCCUGCAUGGCUGCUGAAGAAAGACGUUUCCUCCACUUAACAGCAAGCUCUGCCUUUGGUACAUAAAAGACAAUUUAAAAAAAAAAACACCCUUAUUUUGGGUUAGCUUCAUAAUUUAACGACAAAGUUACAAAGAUGAGACUUGAGUUCACACACACCACUUUGAUGCUGCUGGGUUUUCGUGAAGAGUGUCUUUAUAAUCAGUGCACCUGGGUCAAAUUGGGUUUUGGUGUCCACUUAGCAUCUGGCUGGACACUGAAAUGUUUGCCUUCAGUACCUGAGUUUCCACUGCAGGUAGAUCUGGCACUUGUCCCAGACCACCUUCUAUUUUGGCUUCAUUCCAUGUCUCUGGCUAUUUGAUGCUAGAAACACUUUCUGCGAUUUUCCAGCAUCUAAUGUGUAAGUAUUCUCCCUAUUUUUUGUUCUUACUGAUAUGUGCAGCCUAAGGAGAGAGGGGUGGCAUCAUGUCCAGUGCUGCAUUUUUGUAAUCUCUUAGCUGCUUCUCUCUCAUACACUUAGAUUGAAGACAAUGUAGAAGUAUGUCUGCUCUCAAAACGAGUAAAUGAUCCCCAAAUGUUUCUUUAGAAAGGUAAAAAAUCUUUCAGUUCAAACCCCUUUAACGCACAUCCUAAUCUAGUCUGCUAGCUGAUGUUAGUACAUUUAUUGAAAUGCAUGGAAACCCCUUGAAGCUUAUGUACUUCAGUUUAAGAAAGUGACAUGCCAGACACUUGUCACCUGGCUUCUUCAUGCUAAGGAUGAGAAGGGAGAGCUUUGUCUCUUUUUCAUGAGCCAGAUGAUGUAAGAGGAUCAGGGGUUGAUAUGGUGGAGGGUCACAGUGAGAACACAGACCCUGGUCCUAACCAUUGUGCAAGCAGCCCAGCACCUCUAGCACAUAGCUCCUAUAACAUGCCGGUUUGAAAAGGCUGCUGUCCUCUGCAUUGAGAAUCGUGCUGACAUCAGGCUGUUCAUGCAUAAUAAUUCUUUGAUGCCCUGUAGGCAGUUCCCUUCUUCUAGACUGUUAUCACCUGUUCUGGAAUUGACAUUGUUAGGCUUGAAGAAACCAGGGCUAAGGCAUCACGGGCUCAUCUGUAAGUGAUGGCUGGGUUGAACCAUGGGCAUCAUAAUGGCUCCAGAGUAACUGGGGCUGCUUCCCUGAGGCUUAGCAACUCUAAUCUGGGUGCAUGCUGUGCUGCAGAUAAACCUCGGCAGCAGAGAGAUGUGCAGCAUCUUUUUGUAAGUGCCACUGAGCUAUUUGAAAGAGAUACUCGGCAAGGGUAAGUUCUUGAGAAGAUAGCAGAACGUCUUAGAGAAGUGUUAGAAUGUGGAUGGAAACAGCAGAGCAUCCCCAGAGAUGUUUGCAUGUAUGACAGAGGUGGCCGUGUGUUAGAUAAAUUAGAAUACUCUACCCCUUACUGUCCUACGAAAAUUAAAUACUGUUGUCAUGUGCGUUGCUCUUCUUUGCUUUUGGUUUAUGUCCAUUUCUAAGAACAGCUCAGCAGAGUCCCUUAUACUGAGAGUUGUGGUAACAGCACACGUUACCACAACUUUGAGGCUUCAAGUAUCAGCCAUGGUGGUAAGUUUGGUAGGUAGCAUCUGUCGCUUUGCUCUUCUGCUCUUUGGAGAUUUGGCUCCAGCUGGUUUUAUAGUUGCUGUAUAACUGAGGACAGUCUUUAGUUUCUGAUUCCCUGCCUUCACUUCCUGAGUGCCACCUUUUUUAUUUUGGAAUAGUCUUUGUAGCCCUGGCUAUCCUGGAACUCAGCAUGUACACCAGACCUUGAACUCAAGAGUUCCUCCUGCCCCUGCCUCCAGAAUGCUGGGAUGAAAGAUGUGUGCCAUGAAGACCUUUUCAGUCUUUAGGAAAGGUGGCUUUACAGAGACGGCUGGAUUGCGCUAAGUUUUGAUCCUCUGAAAGCCUAUUGGCUUCAUCGAAGCUGAAAACAUGUCUGGAGUCUGUCUGUUGUAGUCUGGCACCAGAGGUUCAGGAGAGCUGUCCAGUAUCACUUUCUGGUGGUUGUCCUUAAAAUUUCUAGUGUCCCUUGUGCAGAUUGUGAUUGUUGUUGGUUUGUGUGCUAUCUUUAUAAAACAUCAGACAGUCUGCUGGAAUGGAUGAACUUUGAACUCUGUAAUCCUAUAACAGAGACAGUCUCAGGUUGCCAGAAUCCAGGAUGAAGAUUCCUAGGGGAGUUUUACAUCAACAGUGAGUUAUUUUCCUCCUAUGGGAAUGGCCAUAGUGCCUUCUACGUUUGCAGUAUGAGCUGUCCAGCCUACCAUUUGAGGUUCUUAACACUUCCCUUUCUCUUGUGUUGAACUCUGUAACCACUUCCUGAUCCUAACUGGAAGAAUGAUUACAAUUUCAGUUUGUAUAAAAACUCCAAACCAUCAGGCCUACUCCCCACUUACCAAGAACUGGUCAUCCAAAUAGUGAAGCCACAGGUGGCGCCUGUCUACAUGUCUGUCACCUUUCCCACCACAGAGAUACCAGAAAGUGAGCAGAGUCUAGUUGGGAAUGAAGAUCUGAGCUGCUUGGUGCCUGUGGCAAAGACAGGGAAACAGGUAGGUCGGUAGCUUGUGUGAAGGUUGGUGGAACCUGGGACCGAGUCUUUCUUUUCAAUGCUUGCAUGACGGCCCUGCACUUACAGAGGCCUUUAAAGUAGGUUUUGCAUUUUAAGUUGAGUUUUGAGAACCAGCUAUUCACUGUGCAAGCUAAGUUGCUGGGAAGUUUGUUUUAAAGAUGCAAGCACCCUCUAUUUCAGUGAACCCAGUAAAAAUAGCACGGAAUAAAAUUUAAUUAUGCUGUACUGAAUAUUUCAUGUGGAAUUAAGGGGCAGAGCUGCCUUUAAAAAGCAUUAGGUUUGGGAAGAAGAAAGGCUUUGUAGGUUCUUUGGAAGAUGCUAUAAUUAAAAGAUUUGCUCAAAUGUAUUUUCUCCCUUUUUGAAGAGUUUAAAGAAAUCCAUCCAUCCUUCCCUAAAUUGAUUCUUUCUCCAGUGUCAUUGCUGUCUGGCAGUCAGCAUGCUGCCAUGGCACCGAUUUGAUGGCCGAUUUCUAUCAAAUGUAGUUUGUUUUUUAAUCCUCUGAUUUAAGACAUUUAAUAGAAAGCAAAUGUUUGGCUUACUUUGGUUUCUGCUGAACCUGUAUUUAAACCCACAAACAGUUUGAAUAAAGCGAAGGCACCACUGGACUAGCUAUUUUAAACAUCUCAGGAUGUAAGAAUGCUAAAUGGAGUUCCCUUUUAAAAAUAGAAAUGGCUGCUUGCAUUUACAUAAUUACUGCUAACUAGCACAACAUUUUAAACAGUGAUAAACUCAAGCUACAGAAAGUACCUGCUUUAAAAUGCCUGGUGAUAGGAAGGUGAUCUGUGAGUGGUGCUGCUGAUGGAGGGCCUCAGAGCCAGGCUCUUCAGGAAGGAGGGGAGUGGGCAGAGAGGGGCGGCUCCUGCAGGGUCUGCCUAAUGCAUUGGAGUCUGCAUCUGUGUUAAAAGCUGCUGAGGGCUGAAACCAGUGUUGGUGAGAGAGCACAGGAGUGAAGAUGAAGGGCAAGCUGGCCUGGGCCACACCUGCAGUCCCUGCACUGGGGAGACUGAGGCAAAACUGAGUUUGUAGCCUGGGCUGAGUAUGCCCUGUCUCAUAGAACAGAAACAGGUUUGGGUUUUUUUGUUUUUUGGUUUUUGGUUUUGGUUUUGGUUUUGGUUUUGGUUUUUCGAGACAGGGUUUUUCUGUAUAGCCCUGGCUGUCCUGGAACUCACUCUGUAGACCAGGCUGGCCUCGAACUCAGAAAUCCACCUGUCUCUGCCUCCCGAGUGCUGAGAUCAAAGGCGUGCGCCACCACCGCCCAGCAACAUACACAGUUUAUACAAACUCAUUGGUUAAAGCUAGAACUCUGGAGUGUCCAUGAUUUUGCCUUUCCCCAUCUCAAACAUCUGAUCCAUCUGUCAGUCCUGUUUCCCUCUAACCUGGAUCAGACUGUACGUCUCCACCCAGCACCAGGUCUCCUCCUCUUUUGCUGGAUAACUGCUCCAUUUCCUACUUGGGCUCCCUGCCUCUCUUUGCCUCCCUGUGCAGAAGUGAGAGUGGCAGUUGUAUACUUUGAGUACCUUUGGUCUGCCUCCACAUUCUCCCUGUUCCCCCGACUCCCUACAUCCCCUGCCUCCCGUCCCGACUUACUGACUCAACCUCUAGUUACUGAGGCUGUCCACACCUGGAGCAUAUCAGACAUGGCUCUUUUAGGCACUUCCUGUUUUGUCUACCUGGAAAGCUUUGCCAUCAGCCUUUUCUCGAUUGUAUGUGCUGGCUCCUCUGUACCAGCUGAGGCUCGUUCCGAGGAUCGUCUCCUCAAGAUGAUGCCACUGCCAUAUUCAGUCUGCAUCAUUCACACUGAAUCUUUGUUUAUUAGUCAAGCAGUUGUUUCCUUACCUUGGCUUCUGCCUCCUCCCCAUCACAUGAGCGCUCUCAGGUCUGCCUUCCUCAGCUGUGUUCCUAGCAGUCAAACGCCUGGAGAACACAGGUAGCUUGUUGACUGUGUGUGGAAGGAGGCUGCCCUCAGAGGACGUGUCGUGUGGACACUCGACUCCAGACGGGAUGGAGAGCUAAUGCCCUGCUUCUUGUCUACGGUAUGAGCUUGCUAGGUGUCUGACUUCCUGGCUGGGGCCAGGGAGCUAGCAUGGCCUGACUCUGCAGAGGCAGAAGCCAUUUCUUGUGGCUUCUGUGAUAUCUCUCUGUCGAGUAUGAUAAGGACACUCCAGGUUUAACAGUCACUCUGGCCUGGAAACAGAUUUGUUAAGAUACAGGUAUUGGCAGAAAUCUAGACCUCAGCUAGCAGCAUCUGGCUUUUUAGUCUCCCCCACCCCCAACAAUACCAGAUCUGGGGAGAAAAUAUAGAAGCUGUUGAUACUUGGAAAAGUGAGAGUGAUCACGUAGCUAGUUGGACCUUUUACACAAAACUUACUCAGGGAAGAGAAAAGUUACAUUUCCAACUUAGAGUUUUGGAUAGAUCCUGCCUCUCCAAACUGUCUGCUGAAGUACUCACUCUGGUCUUGAAUGUGCUAGUUGGCAACUGGGUUGUGAAACUCGGGAGACCUGACUGCUGAGCAAAAGCUCCUGGUGGGAGUUUCCAUUCUUGUUGCUAUCUUUAUCAGGGCAUUUUAUAGUGAUUGGGUUGUAAACAGUGUCUUCUCUGUUAAUCUAUAGUAAAAUGGACUCUUUUUGUUUUUUCUAACUGAGACAUGGUUGCUGCUCCUUGGAGCGGGAAGACUUGGGACAUCUUUGGAAUGUCAUUUUAUCAGCUGAGGUGGCUGAAGAUUCUCCUGUUUGAUUGGAGCCUAAUGCCAUGGAAAUACAGGUGCUAUGAUUGCCCAGCUAGGAACCAGGUUGAACUUGGAGUGAACAAAGUGGGAACAGAGCAGCUGGCCUGUUCUGACCACUUGUCAGUGCUGUGUAUGCCAGUGAGGGGAUUAAACAAGAUUGUUGACCACUGUUGGAAGAGCAGCCGCAGGUUUCCCAUGGCAGUGAGUGGAUGUGUUUAAGAUCAGCAGCACGUGGGGAGAAGAGUUGGUGUCCAUUGGUCUCCGGAAUCUGAGUUCCUCGUGAACUUUCCCUCUCACUGGGCAAUCUGUUACAUCAUGCCAUCAAAUCCCAUCACUUAGGACUGGGCCGAGGGUGGAUGGUGUUUGAAGUUAACAAGGUGGCUUAGUUCAACACACCUGGCUGCUACUGGUCAGUGGCCCCGGGGUUGAAAGGCCAUGUAACUCCUACUCCUGUUAGAACUUGUGUGUACAGUGAAUUUGGUGCUGUCUGGCAAACAGGAGUGAUCACUUCUGAGUCCUCUGAUGAGUCAUGAGGUAAUGGGAUUGGUGCUUUUGUACAUGCUGGUUGGAGUUGGUGGGCCAUGAGUGUCACCCUGGAUAGUCCCCACUCGCACUCAGUCUCUUCCCCAAGUCUUAGAAGAGUUUCCUACCAGGAAGGGCCAUGCUCUUCCAGCCUUUCUCUCUAUGGCUGACAUACUUACAUUGAGUUCUAGAUAAAUACAUGUCUAUAAUUUCUCUCAUCUUUGCAGGGUCAUGCCUAGAGGUGUCUGAUAACACCCCUGACUCUUACAUUGUCCCCUAAGAUGGCAGCUCCAGAGGUUCAGUUCCUGGACAGGCUCACUCUGGUUUUGGUACCAUGGUUGGCUGAUUGUUUCCUGAAAUUGGUUGAGGAGAUUAAAUAUUUGUUAAACUUAUUGUAUGCCCUGACUGAGAGAACUAAUCACUGUGCUUGUUUAACAGGGCCCGUCUGCUGCUCACUCCUCCAGUUUAUUGGUAAUACAUUGUCUUCAAGCAGGCUCACAGGUUGAAGUUCACAGGGGGUGCCGAGUGGUGGGAUUACUGUAGGAUUGGUACGUGAGUCGGCCUCUGAAGAUGGCACAGAUGGUUUUCCAGGGGCUACUCAGGAAAGGCACUGGGAAGGCGUUCCUGAGUGGCAGCUUAGCUUGCUGGCUGAAUGAGCCUGAUUUCUAAAAGUACCUGUAGCCUCUUCGCAUAUUGACCUCCCAGCAGGUAAAUGUGAAGCCAUGGCCUUCCUUGUUCAACAUAACAUUUUUAAAAAUCUAGAAAUGGAUCAUGUCCAUCCAACAUCAAGGUAGCCUGACUGUCCGUCCCCUUCCUCUGUGUUCACAGGCCUAUACUGAAACUUAGGUAUGUCUCUAGGGUCUGCGAGGUCAUCUGACCUCGGAUACAGCUCUCAAGCAUGGAGCUUUGUCAGCUGUGCACCAUUAUGGGCAUGUACCCAGCCUGCUUAUCCACCUUGGAUGCAUGUGGAUGAUAAAUAGUCACCAGCGCCCCACGAUAGCUGAAAGGCACACUCCAGCCAGUGUGUGCUGGGCUGUAGGCUUUCCUGAUGGAUGGCGCCUAUUCUGGGAAGCAGCUUACUGUCUCACGUGAACAGGCCUUCGAAAAUAAAUGACUGCUUUCUUAAUGUUUUGAAUCAUUUUCCUCAGCACAUGUUUUGUUGCCGUGGUUUGAAAGCUUGCCAAAUAUAUGCUUUUGCACAACUCCCUGCAGGGCUGGGUCUGCAAUCGGCACAAACAGUGAUUUAAGGUUGAGCAUAAUUGGGAACUCAGCAAUCACUUGCCUGUAGUUUGAUCGAAGGGCAGUGGAUUGCUGGAGACUUACUCCUCUGUUAAAAGUUAUCUACAUAUAAGGCGUGCACACAGCUCCACUGCCUCACAGGAGAGAAGUGGGUGUAUGAGGCACCGGGUGAGAGCCUGGGCAUGGUAGAGGGGCAGCCUCUGUGGUGAAGGCUGUAAUUAACUCUGAAUAAGUUCUUGCAGAUGCCACCAUAGAUGCAACUGAGGGCCAUAGUCAGAUCGUGUCACUGCAGGAGGGACAGAAACAGUCACAUGGCAGAAAUGCCUUUGCAGCCUUUGUUUUAUCUGAUGAUCUGUCAUAUGUCAGUAAUUGUGUCAGGAACUUGGUGAAUUUGGUGUGGCCUCUUGCUAAUCUAGGGCCUUUGUUCUUUUCCAUUUUCAGCACUGCUGUGUUUUCAGUUGGUUAUUCAGUUGUCUAUAAUUGAGACCCUUCAUGUGGGUCUGCUACUGGGAAAAACACUGCUCACAGCUCACUCUUCAGAGCUCUUGAAAGGAUGAAAUGGAGAGCUCUGCAGGUCAGGGACUACUUAGCUGGGUGAUGUGGCAGGUUCCCAUCGGCCCCACAAGAGAGCGACUGCAUCUAUUACAGAAGACAACGGAAGCUCUGACAGCUGCAUUAUGUCACCGUAUGUGGUCUAAGUCUAGAAAGUGAGCUUCCUCUGAGUUGUAUUCCAUUUUUUUGUUUGUUUGGUUGGUUUGGUUUGGUUGGUUUUGGUUUUUCAAGACAGGGUUUCUCUGUGUAGCUCUGGUUCUCCUGGAACUCACUCUGUAGACCAGGCUGGACUUGAACCUAUAGAGAUCCACCUGCCUCUGCCUCCCAAGUGUGGGAAUUAAAGGUGUGCGCCAGCACAUCCAGCUGUUCUGUACACUUUGUAAUUGUUGAAAACAACCUAUUGUCUGUGGAGUUUCAGACAGUUAAUAGAGCUCCAAAAUUUAUCACAUUUAUUUGCAAAAAACAUAAUUAUGAAAAACUAUGCAGUUUAUCCAAACAAAGCAAAACAUUAAGUAUGUGAACAUUCGAGUUUGACAGAGUAUAUACCAAGAGCUGAGGUGGAGAUUUGAAAACAGUAUUGGCUAGGGUAGCAUCCAUCCCUCACAUAAACCCUUCAAAGAAGAUGUGUGUGACUGUGACCUCAGAGAGAACUGUGUACCCACGUAAGAGGAGAUGGCACUGUGUCGGAUGGCUUGGUACGUCACGGCACCUUCUUCUUCACAUUGGUUCUGAAGCAGUGCCAUUCUCAUCCAGAUUUAGCUGGCUGCCUGUAACAUUUAUAUGGAAACACAGAGGACAUAGAAAAACAAGUUGAUUUUGAGAAUAAAGCUAGAAGAUUACCCUUUCCUGGUUUCCAGACUUCCUAUAUAGCUCUAGCAAUCAAGAUGGUUGGUACUGCAGAAGGGUAGAAAUGGAGAUCAAUGGGGCAAAACCGAGAGUCCAGAAAUAGAUUUGGUCAGUCAAUCUUGACAAAGGUGCAAAGGUAGUUCAAUGGAGGCAGCCUCCAGCAAAUAGUAAUCAGAGAGUCAUGCGCCUGGACUCCGUGUAAGGGGAAGGAGGGCCUGGUCUUCACCCUAGACUAUGCAGAAGUUACUCGAGGUGGCUGUAGAUGUAGUUUAUGUUACAGGACUGUGAAACCUGAGGGCAAAGCCAAAGGCUUGGGUUAGAGGAGACUGCUUGACUUGGUACCUUCUGUAAGAAGUGAAUGUCAGACUUCACAGAAAUUAAAAAGACAGGAUCAUGGAAACCAAGGCAUACCUGGAGGGUGCACUGAGCAGAGCCGUGUUUCCCAGGACUAUGCGUGAUGCCCAGACAGCUCUUAGGCCUCAGGAAUAUGAAGACUCAAUGGGAAGACAGGCAAGAGAUUGGAAUAUACACUUGACGACACACAGAGAACGGUGAAGUUCAUGGAAGAU